Long non-coding RNA from Carassius gibelio (silver crucian carp), 384 nucleotides. RefSeq lists it as uncharacterized. The transcript is spliced from 3 exons. NCBI's taxonomy places the organism in Eukaryota, Metazoa, Chordata, Actinopteri, Cypriniformes, Cyprinidae. The record is from RefSeq and is a predicted model, not a curated record.
GGCAAUAACGGACUGGUGUGCCUUUCAUAUAUAAAGCACACAAGCUCAUGAGCUCCAGUGUUACUGUGAGAUUACGUUCACACACAGUAAUGAAGUGGAUAGAGAAUCUCCAGAUUUGGUCUUUCUUUGUGUCAAUUUACCUGCUGACACAGGCUGAAUGUGGUCCUGUUGAAGCAGCCAUAGCUAGGAGUAAUGAAAAAGAUGGUCCGAUUAUGGCAAAUAGCGAUUUCACAAGAGAAACAAGAUCCAUAGAGGUGUGUCUGUUUUUUUAUCUUUAUUUUUUAUUUUUUUACAUAUCAUUUCCAUUGUACAUGCAUGCACUUUUAAAUGUAGGUACUGUUUUAAAAUACAUUUUCAUUAUCUCUCUGUAAUCUACUAAGGACU